This 105-nucleotide transfer RNA is filed under the name Stenotrophomonas maltophilia. Its description in RNAcentral is "tRNA-Lys". The record is from RNAcentral. Lineage: Bacteria; Pseudomonadati; Pseudomonadota; Gammaproteobacteria; Lysobacterales; Lysobacteraceae.
GGGCCGGUUCCAUAAAUUAAUUCAAUGCAAGUAAUUGAUUUUUGAGCAUAAUAAGGCCGACUUUUAAUCUUUUGGUCGAAGGUUCGAAUCCUUCACGGCCCACCA